Molecule: long non-coding RNA, 446 nt
Organism: Wyeomyia smithii (pitcher-plant mosquito)
Lineage: Eukaryota; Metazoa; Arthropoda; Insecta; Diptera; Culicidae
Exons: 4
Source: RefSeq, a predicted model, not a curated record
CGGAGGGGAGCAGACUGCAGCCGAUAACCGACAGAAGAGAUUUCCGCAACGUGUUAGACUUAUCAAAUUACAGGGCAGUAAAAAUUUAUUCUUAUUAGUGCCUAAGUUGAAAGUAAAUUUCUAGCUGCUCAAAAGCGGUUAGUCAAAGAUUACUAUACGAAGGAUUCAAUUCAUGCAUUUGUUUGCUCAUAUAUUUGUUAUACUUAAAACAUCCUGAUUGAAUUUGCGUUACGAAGUAGGAAACGUACAAACGAAAAUUUUAAUCGCAGUGUGCAAAAUACACGAUUUAAAAUUUCGGAAAAGUUGUUUCCUUGUUACAUUGGUAACAGUUGGAUAUAACGCAAUCGAAUUUUGCUCUGACAAUAAUUACUAUAUCGUCAGCAAAACCGAUCGAAAGACCCUUUCAGUCAGGUUUAUUAAAAGGUCGUGAACAACUAAUGACCAAA